Raphanus sativus (radish) is the source of this 781-nucleotide long non-coding RNA. RefSeq lists it as uncharacterized. Lineage: Eukaryota; Viridiplantae; Streptophyta; Magnoliopsida; Brassicales; Brassicaceae. The transcript has 4 exons. The record is from RefSeq and is a predicted model, not a curated record.
GUUUGUAGUUAUCAAAUACGCUUAUAUGUUCUUUAAAAAUGUAUCUCUAUAUAUUGAUUUAUGCGUGCUAAUGUUUCCCAGGAUCUGUCCAGUGCCGUGGAGAAAUUCAAACUCGGUUCUCUGUACCAGGAAGGAAACAAACGGGUCUUACCUAUUUCCGUGCAGAUGAAAUCCCAAUCUAGGCUUUGGGCAUAAGGAGAAAGCGUACACGGUGCUACUGACACGGAUGAAGAGAUUAGUGGUUGAGGCAAGAGACAGUGUUGUGUCCUAUAUAGUUGCUUAGUGCAAGCUGCAGAAAGAAAAAAAAGAAAUGAUAUCCUAUGGUGUGAAGAAGAUAGUGAGAGGUCCGGACCUUUGUUUGCUUACUAAGAUUAAGUAGCAGUCACAUACUUCGUCAAACUGUCCAACAACUCAUUCAUCACCAACUUCAAUUUGAGAGAGUAGCAUUUCAUAACCACGUUUGCAGCUUGCAAAGAGAGGAAGCGAAGAUAGCAGUUUGGAACAAAAUGCACAAGGUUUGGGACACUUGUGAGGAUGAAAGUAGAACCUGCCAUUAGAAAACUCGGUCCUCCUUCACUUAUAUGAAAACUCCCAUAAACCAAUCAAACCAUGAUGAUUGUACUGUUUUUUUCUUUUGCUUGAAUCACAUGUGAAGCUGGAGAAGAAGAAAUGACCAUUACUGGAUAAGAUCUUUUACAAGCUUCAAACAACCAAGUCGAGAGGUCAGGUGGAGUUCAGUAUUCAGUGAUCAUCAACGAGAACAAAAGUUUUGACUAUAGAU